RNAcentral lists this ribosomal RNA (395 nucleotides) under uncultured bacterium. RNAcentral describes it as "bacterial SSU rRNA". It matches the Rfam family "Bacterial small subunit ribosomal RNA", at positions 505 to 898 of the family's 1533-position model. The record is from RNAcentral.
GUGUCAGCCGCCGCGGUAAGACAGAGGGUGCAAACGUUGUUCGGAAUUACUGGGCGUAAAGCGUGUGUAGGCGGCUACAUAAGUCGGAUGUGAAAGCCCCGGGCUCAACCCGGGAAGUGCACUCGAUACUGCGUAGCUUGAGUCUCGGAGAGGUUGGUGGAAUUCUCGGUGUAGAGGUGAAAUUCGUAGAUAUCGAGAGGAACACCGGUGGCGAAGGCGGCCAACUGGACGAAGACUGACGCUGAGACACGAAAGCGUGGGGAGCAAACAGGAUUAGAUACCCUGGUAGUCCACGCCGUAAACGAUGGGUGCUAGGUGUCACGAGCUUUGACUCUCGUGGUGCCGUAGCUAACGCAUUAAGCACCCCGCCUGGGAAGUACGGCCGCAAGGCUAAA